This 3084-nucleotide long non-coding RNA is filed under the name Anser cygnoides (Swan goose). Its description in RNAcentral is "lncRNA (ENSACDG00005015466.1)". The record is from RNAcentral. Lineage: Eukaryota; Metazoa; Chordata; Aves; Anseriformes; Anatidae.
AUGGCCCUGGUUUUCCUUCAAGCUCCUCCCUCUUCAGAAGAGCUAACAAGUUGGAGGAGCUGCUGUGAGCAGUCACCCAGCAGGAAAUCUCUUCAACAAGAGUCUGCAAAGGUGGACAGCAGGGCAUGUCUUGUGGCAGAGAACAGGACUGCCCUAGAAGCAGCUUGGAGGACCGCUUUUCCCACCUCAACCCGAAACAGUUUAUUCAACUCCAGUUGCUUCUGGAGCCCAGCUGGGCGUCUCGACAUUUCUGAUUACACAGGGAUCUCUGCUUCGAGGCAUCCUUUCAAACAUCCCUGGACAGAGUUUCUAGAAUGCAAAAUGGAAUCAAUCCAGCGUUUUUUUUCAGUGAAUGAAAAACCCAAGGGGCUUUUGGGAACAUUUUAAAAGGUUUUGCCCCUUUUCUCAUAAAUGAAGUAGUGAAACCUUUGGAGGAAGAUAGUGUUUCUGAGCUCUGACAACAUAACUGGGAGCACAGCAACAUCAGCACUGGACUCCAGAGUAACUCUGUAGGAGAGCUGCUGCCAUAAAGAACUGCUAUCUGGUUUCUCAAGGCAAUUUGUAGCUCUGCCACUGGUCUCCUUGGAUUUUGCCCUUUAGGUCGAGCAGCCUUGUGAUGCUGUGUCUGCCUACAGGUCUAGGCCGGGGAGGCCUCUGAGACAUUUGCACUUCUUGUUUUAUACUUAAACCUUAUUGCAGGUGGUGAAAAGUCACUUGGAGGCCUAGAAGGAGAAAGAAGAGUUAAACACUGUUGUUCUGCAUCCCAGCUACUGCACAAACCCUGAAACUUUCUGCAGGUGCUAGGUGGGCUUAGCUGCAAUAAGAAUGUUCCCACGCCUUUUCAGAUGUCAUGGACAAAUGAAGAUCCUGGCUUUUGAGUCUACAGGGACACGCUUCGCCUUCCACUCAGGCUGUAACACCUCUGACAACUGUGUGAGCAUGGGAGGUGGAGGAGGACUACCAAAACCCACCUGCUUCAGCUUUUAAACCACUUACUCACAGCAAAGCUAAACUCGGCAUUUGUGAGAGAGCUGUGUAGGAUCAAUUUUCUAGUCCCUAGAACAUGUUCCCAGGUUUUGUACCACUCUGCUGCAGCUCUCUUUCAUCACAUAUUUUGGCUUUACAGGUCCAUCUGUAUUUUCAGACUACUUUCCACUUUCUAGAAGCUACUGUUGGGACUGCUGGGUCCUUCUGCUUCACAGAUUUGUACAUCCAAGAGCAGGAAGACCUGCUCACACUCUCUGAAACUUCACAGCUAUGAUCUGACAGUUCUCUGGGAAAGAGCCAGCUCUGAGGUGUGCCUGUCAGACACAAAAACAAGGUGUCCCAGUGAACAACUCAUGGGAACUGAAAUACAGAACUGUAGCACAGCAAGAGUCCAAGUCCAUAAAGACAGCACAGGCCACCACAACCAAGAAAGUAGCAUAAAAACGAACAAAACAAACAAACAACAACUGUAUAAAUGUAACCAGAACAUCAAUAUGGCUAUAGUAGAUAAGAUGCAAGAUCCCCUUUAAGGAUGUGACACUGAGCAUUAAUGAGAUGGACGAUGCCUGGGUGCGGGGGCAGAGGGGAGGUUAUGCACAAGGCCCAACUUUGGCUUUUUCUACCCAAACAUUGUUCAGCCCUGAUGAUUACUGCAGCCAUGAAAGCCUUCAGAGGAUGAAACCCCUAUGUCCAGAGCUGUCACUUCUCAGUGAGUUUUAAAUGUCCGUGGCAGACAUUUAUUCCCCAAGAAUCUGAAGAUUUUUCCUCUUCCUUCUCGUCUCCAUACUCCCCACCACUACCACCAAAUUCCAAACAAAAUAACAAAUCUAUUGGGGGUGGGGGGGGAGCAACAAAAUGUAUCUUCUAAUUCUGCUUCUCUGGUAAUAGUAUGUAGUGGUAAAAGUGAUGUUACAUUAAGUGUCUUGCUCAUCUGAUCUUAUUUUUCUCUUUAUUAUAUCACAUUGUCUGCUCAUCUAGUUAAUGCUGUUUGAAAUACGCCUGAUCCUGGGAGCUAAUUGUCGUAGUGACAUGAAGUUUGUGGCUCACACAGCAAAAUGUAUGAUUUCAGUAUUUGCAGGAAUAACAUAAAUCCCUGCACACAUUUCAUACUAAGGGCUGCAAAAUCUGCUUGCAGUGUUCUUAUCUCUGUGGAUUAGUGAGUUAUCAGGGAGCGUCACUAUCAUCUGAAUGGAGAUAAGGUGCAGCAAAUCCUUCCCUUCUGCUCUGUGACACACAAUAUCAGUGCCAAAUAGGAAGCCUAAGAGCACAGAUAAAUCAACAGCCCUCUGGGGACCCUAAGCUAAAUAUGAAUGCAUUAAAGCAAUAUUCAGCUCCCUGUACAAAGGCAGAACAGCAGUACCUCUAUUGCUCUGUAAGGUAGGCAUUGUACUGGGUAUUAAGCUCUUAGCUGUCAGGAAGGUGCAUGUGUAAUGCAACGUAUUAGCAUCUUACAAGAGCUGCUGUCAAGAAAAGCUGUGUGAGAACAGAUCUACACUCAGCACGGUAGACAUCUUCCACACCAUGCACUAGGUUGCUUUGGAGACUGGUGCUGGUCUUCAAAACAGAACAUACUGGCACAGAAAUGAGACAGCCCAGAUGGCUGUUAACAGCCAGGAGAAGCCAUACUGCUUGUCAGUCUUGUGCUUAGAGCCCUUUAAAGCAUGCAAAGUAUAUUAAUAAUGAAUGCAGUAACUACUGGAAAAGCUAAAAGCUGACCUGCCCUGUGGAAAGACAUUUCCAGGAGUGAAGUCUUUUGCUUUUUUCAGGCACUUCACAGACAAAGCUCAGGGCCCACUUAUGACUGCAGUUACAUUUGAAAGCCUUUGACUUAGGUUCCCUGAGAUGCAACCCAAGAUAAAUGAGCACAUAACCCUGCAACGUGCAAACGGGUGCCUGGCAGUCUGUGGGGGCCAAAAGAACUAGCAGCAGCCACCUACGAGAUGGAAGUUACUGUCAUGGGCUUGCUCUCCAGUUCUAGCCAGGCCCUCAUUGCUGGAUCUGUGCUAUCCCCAAUUCAGUCUCCUAAUUUCCUUUCUUCAGCUGUUAACUACGUCUCCUGAUAAUAAAACUCUUCUCAUCUGAAACUAAAGAAGAACU